AGGGAAGAGUCACGCAGAGUGUACUGCAGUAAUCCAACCUUGAAGUCAAUAUCUGCACUCCUGUGGUCAGACUGUGAUCUAGGCAAGUACGAUGCAUCGUUGGUUGAUUGAUUGAUUGAUUGAUUGAUUGAUUUAUAGACUGCUUACGUACCACGCCAAAAUGACUUCUAAGCAGUUUGCAAGUAUAAAAUCAAUUGUAAAAUCAAUAUUUAAUUGAAAGGUACAAUUGAAUUUUAACAAGUUAACAGUUAAAAAGCACAGCAAUGGAGACAGUUAAAGAAUGGAAACAAUUUGGUCAAGAAGUUCAAGUUCCAGGAAAUGCUUGCUUAAAGACGUGCAUCUUUAGAAUCCAGCAGAAUGUCAAUAUUAACAGGCCUUCUUGGAUUUCAGCAUUAUCACAGUUUACUGACACCGCAGCUAGGCAAACCUCUCCAGGAUAUGCUCCCCCACCCUCUCUCUCUCUCUCUCUCUCUCUCUCUAUAUAUAUAUAGCCUGCCUUUGAAAUGGUACAGGUUUCUUAUAAGGACAGCUGGGAUAAUGGAUGUAAAGUAUUUUUAAAACUUUUUUUAAUAAACCCUUUAUAAAUUCUGAGCAUUACUGUAUUCUUUUCCUCUCCCUGAAACAUCCUGACUAUAAUAAGAGAGUGACAGUGGAUAGUUUGGAAUUAAUUUGUUUCUACUUGCAGUUGGGCCUCAUUAGCUAUUACUUAAGGUAGUCAAACGCUUUAUUUUAAGAAAUGAAACCCGAAUGAGUUCACAUCUGUUAAGAAUCCUUGGUUUGUUUCCUGUUGUCUACACAUUUCUUUAGCAUUUGAACAUUUCUCUCAGCCCUUGGAGUGAAAGAGGAUACUGUGUCAGCAGAGAUGAUGGUAUACAUUUAUCUAAAGUUUCCAUGGGUCUAAGAAACAGAGCAGUGCAAUGAAAAACAACUCUGAUGGAAGUCUGCAGGGCUCUGGGCUCAAAAACCUGUAAAGGUCAAUCUGAAAAAUAAAGCAUACAGUGCUCUUUUUGGCUAUAGCUGCAUUCUUAUCAGUCACUUAUUUGUAUGUUAACCUUGCUUCAAAAGCAGCUAUGGAGUUUUAAAGGGCCAGAUCUGGUGCAGAUAGCUGUGGACUCCCUGGAUAUGCAUUGAGGACAGUCACAUUGCAAUAGAUCACAACCUUCAUUUUCCAGAGUUUGGUUUUCCAAAGUUUACCAUUACCCAAAAUCAUUAUCUACCUCUCCAUGCAUAUAUCUGCCAUUGCAGCACCAUGUAAACACCACUGUUGUUUAUCUGAACAGCUGAUUUUGUUAAUACUUUGAAUGGUGAGCUUUUGGGGGGAAAGCUCUCCUGAAAAUAGUGAUUUCAAGCUGUUUCUACUGCUUUUUCCAUUGCAUUGUCAUACUUCCUGUGAAACAAUGCAAAGUAAAUGAGGUUGUGGAUCUUGCGCAUAGACUCUUUGGUUGCAGUGUUGCACACAGCUGCCCAUUAUUCCUCAGAUGUUUCACACUGUUCUCAUAGUUUUGACCAUUUGCCUGACUAUACAGUCAUACCUUGGUUUUCAAACAGCUUAUUUCUUGAACAUUUUGGCUGCCAAAUGCCACAACCCCGGAAGUGACUGUUCCAGUUUGCGAACUAUUUUUGGAAGCCGAACAUCCAAUGGGGCUUCUGCAGCUUCCAGUUGGCUGCAAGAGCUUUCUACAGCCGACCAGAAGCUGCGCUUUGGUUUCUGAACGUUUUGGAAGUUGAACGGACUUCCAGAACGGAUUCUGUUUGACUUCCAAGAUACGACUGUACUAAUUACUAUUGGUAUACAGACAGUAAUGACUGUGAUACAUUUGUCAAUAAUAAUAAUAAUGAUAAUGAUUUUAUUAUUUAUACCGUGCCCACCUGACUGGGUUUCCCUAGCCACUCUGGGCAGCUUACAGAACAUACCGUAUUGGCCUGAAUAUAAGCCUCACUUUUUCCCCAAAUUCCCACUGUGAAAAGUGAAAGUGUGGCUUAUAUUUGCAACCUUAGAGUAUGUAGCCAGGAGCACGGAAAAGCAGCGCCCACCCCGCACAUAGUCCACUGUCCGCUCCCCCAAGGCUGGGAAGGGAGAGAGUGAGGAAGGGGAAAGGCCUCCAGCAACACAGUGCAGCUCCUCGCCCCCUACCCAGUAUACAGCCAGGAGAAGCGAGGAAUGGAGCAGCUUAUAUUCAGGGGUUUUCCUUUUUCUCUCCCCCCCAAAUUUUAAAGGUGCGGCUUAUAUUCGGGUGUGGCUUUUAUUUGGGCCAGUUUGGGCCAAGUAUAAAAUAUAGCCAAUGGCAAUUAAAUUUGUUAUACCCAUGAAUGCAAUUAAUUAUACGUAUUAUGAUGAUGAUUAUGAAGAAGAAGCUGACAGCUUAAGACAUGUUGCCAUCAUGUUAAGAUAGUAUGAGUUCUUAAAAUUAAAAUGUUAACAUUAACAUGAUGUGUCCUAUCACUAAGAAAUUUGACAUGAAGCGUCACUGAGUGAGAAGUUAAAAUUUUAGAGAAAUGUUAUGAAAUAUUGCUGUUCCAAGUACAGUGGUACCUUGGGUUAAGUACUUAAUUUGUUCCGGAGGUCUGUACUUAACCUGAAAUUGUUCUUAACCUAAAGCACCACUUUAGCUAAUGGGGCCUCCCGCUGCCACCGUGUCACCAGAGCACGAUUUCUGUUCUCAUCCUGAAGCAAAGUUCUUAACCUGAAGCACUAUUUCUGGGUUAGCGGAGUCUGUAACCUGAAGCAUAUGUAACCCGAGGUACCACUGUAAUAUGUUUGGAGAUAAAUAUUUUUAACAUCAUCAACAUCAUAAUAUUUGUCAUACUUACUUUUUGAAUUUAUGUUGUGUAAAUAUAAUGUUGAGACAUUUUUCAGUUCUGGUGUCCACUAGACAUUUUAGCUGGUGGUCACCUGGUCUUGCAUUCAUCAUCUGAGGCCCUUUGUGUGCCCUCUCAAAGGGAUGUGCAAAGGAUGACAACGAGAGAAUGGACCUUUUCUGCCAUGACUCCCUAAACAUGGAAUGUUCCUGCCACAGAGAAUUCUGAUCAUGACGGUUGCUUGAUAGAGAGGAGCAUGUGAAUGUGUGUAGAAAUUAGUCUACUGUACAAAGUAAAAUUGGCAUUUAUUGUGCCAGCCAUCGUUGGCAUAUGGCAUCUGGAAGGUUGCCUAGUAAGAUGUGGCCCUCCCCUGAUCAAGGUGGCAGCUGCUGCUCAAACUGUUGCUUUCUUCACCCACUUGGACAAACAGCUUACUGCCUUCCAUAUGAAACUGUUGGCCAAAAAUGACAUGAAACAGAAAAGAAGAUAAAACAAUCGGCUGGCAGACAGAAAGAACGAAACAAGAGGGAAGCCAAUAUGAAAACCAGGUGGGAUACCACCAUGGACGUAGCCAGAAUUUUAGUAUUAUUAUUACAGUGGUGCCUCGCAAGACGAAAUUAAUUCAUUCCGUGAGUUUUUUCGUCUAGCGAAUUUUUCGUCUUGCGAAGCACGAAAUCCCAUAGGAAUGCAUUGAAAUUCAAUUAAUGCGUUCCUAUGGUCCAAACGUCCAAACAAAGCCAAAUUUGGUACAACAAGAGUUUAUUAAGUGCUCUUUAAAGUCACACAUACUGUAAAGAGCAUUUCAAAAAUUGAAGGAACAAUAAAUUAAGUUUCUAAACAUGACAGAAAAACAUUUAAAAAUCAACAAAGUGUACAGUACAUUUUCUAAGACUCUGGGGGACAACUCGAAGAAGGUUCCUCUUCCACUCUUUGCUUCUUGCUGAAGAACCUGUCCAUGGUCUGCUGCUUCAUCCGCCUUUUCAGCACCUCCCUGAAAGGCGACAUGACCCUCGUAUCAAAAGUGUUCACAAGGUCUUGUGCCACGUGCUUUUCAGGGUGGUGCCGCUGUGCAAAAGCCUGCACAUCCUUCCACUUCAGGCAAAUGUCCCUCAGUUCUUUGGAGGACAGCCGUUCCUCAGUUGCUUCCUCCUCUUCCAGCGAGGCCUGCUCCUGCGCAGCCUCUGCCUGCAGUUCGACCAGCUCCUGGGUGGUCAGCUCGUGGUCGUGCUCCUCCACCAGCUCGCUGAUGUCCUCCUCUGUGACCUCCAGGCCCAUGGUCCUCCCCAAGGCAACAAUGUCCUGCACCACUGUUGACUCUGGUGCAUCAGAGUCACUUGGUGCCACACAGUCCGGCCACAGGCUGCGCCAAGCGCAAUUCAAAUUUCUCUGGCUGAUCCUGUUCCAGGCCGUGGUGAUCAUCUUCAAGCAGGUGACGAUGUCGAAGUGGUCCUUCCAGAAUUCCCGCAGGGUGAUGGUGGUGCAAUCAGUCACCUCGAAGCAUCGCCUGAAAAGCUCCUUGGUGUAGAGUUUUUGAAAUUGGCGAUGACCUGCUGAUCCAUCGGCUGGAGCAGUGGCGUGGUGUUAGGUGGCAGGAACAUGAUGCUGAUGAAGCUGAACUCCUCCAACAAGUCCUCCUCAAGGCCUUUAGGAUGAGCAGGAGCAUUGUCCAUCAGAAGCAAAGCCUUCAGCGGCAGGUCGUUGUCCAGCAGGUACUGUUUGACAGCAGGGCCAAAAGCAAGAUUGACCCAGUCCACAAACAGCACACGUGUGACCCAAGCCUUACUGUUGGAUCGCCACAUGACACUCAGCUGCUCCUUGUCGACCUUGUGUUUCUUGAAGGCCCGUGGGUUCUCCGAGUGGUACACCAGCAGGGGCUUGAUCUUCAGGUCGCCGCUUGCAUUGGCACAGAAGAGCAGGGUCAGACGGUCCUUCAUGGGCUUGUGGCCAGGCAACUUGGCCUCCUCCUGUGUGAUGAAAGUCCUUUUGGGCAUCCUCUUCCAAAACAGCCAGGUCUCGUCACAGUUGAAGACCUGCUGUGGAACGUAGCCCUCCGUCUUCACAGCCUCCAGGAACUCCGCUGCAAAGUCUUCAGCCGCAGGAACAUCAGAACUGGCAGCCUCUCCAUGCCUGACCACGCUGUGGAUUCCAGAUCUUGCCUUGAACCGGUCAAACCAACCUCUGCUUGCCUUGAAGACUUCUGGCUCGCCUGAGGUUCCUGGCUGUUCCCGGAUGAGGUCUGCGUGCAAGGCCUUGGCCUUCUCACAAAUGACGGCCUCAGUCACUGUGUCCCCUGCAUGCUGCUUCUCUUCUAACCAGAUGAGCAGCAACUUCUCGACCUCCUCCAGAACAGCUGGGCGGUUCUUUACGAUCCUGGUGACUCCCUUGGCUGCAUCAGUCGCAAGGAUCUUCUCAUCUUCAGGAUGGUCCCGAUGGUCGAUGGAUUCCUCCCGUACUCCCUGGCGAGGUCUGUCACACGCAUUCCACCGUCGUGCUUCCGGAUGAUCUCCUUCUUCAUUUCCAGCGUCACCUUCUCCUUCUUCCUCUCGCCGGCCUCUGCAGCAGCAGUCUUCUUGGGUCCCAUGGCAGCACAGCUCCUACCUUCGCAGACUCAAAAAAAAAAAAAAGAAAGAAAGAAACAGUGCUUCACAUGCAAAAAAUUCAAAAGCACCCAGCCACCCACCACACAGAAAUUCAAACCCAGAACCAAGUCCUUGAAUUCCAAACACCCAACCCAAAAUCCAACCCCCCCAAAAAAAGUUUUAAAAGUUUAACUUACCAAAUGGCUGCAAAAGAAGUUUUGGAAAAGCUUCAAAAAUCGCCAAAGUCUUCUAAAACCUCAACUGUUCCCCCAGCCACCCACCCACCACACAGAAAUUGCAAACCCCUCCCCAACUGUUCCCCCAGCCACCCACCACACAGAAAUUCAAACCCAGAAUUAUUAUUUUUUAAAAAAACAACAUGGCCCAAUGGUCACAGAAAAUCAUAAAAAUGCAGAAAAAAACCACACAAGCUCCCAGAUUCUUGCAAACCCCUCCCCAACUGUUCCCCCAGCCACCCACCACACAGAAAUUCAAACCCAGAUUUUUUUUUAAAAAACAACAACAACAUGGCCCAAUGGUCACAGAAAAUCAUAAAAAUACAGAAAAAAACCACACAAGCUCCCAGAUUCUUGCAAACCCCUCCCCAACUGUUCCCCUAGCCACCCACCACACAGAAAUUCAAACCCAGAAUUUUUUUUAAAAAAAACAGCAGAGUGGCCCAAUGGUCACAAAAAAUAAUAAAAAUGCAGAAAAAAACACACAAGCUUCCAGAUUCUUGCAAACCCCUCCCCAACACCAAGUCCUUGAAUUCCAAACACGCCAACCCAAAAUCCAAAAAACCAAAAAAAAGUUUUAAAAGUUUAACUUACCAAAUGGCUGCAAAAGAAGUUUUGGAAAAGCUUCAAAAUCGCCAAAGUCUUCAACAACCUCAAAAACGGCUACCACACGGCUCGAAGUCAAGUCGCAACUGCACCUCUUCAAGCAAUGCACCUUGGGUUUUAACGGUUUUACGAAGAAGGAAACAAACUUGCAAGACGUUUUCAUCUUGCGAAGCAAGCCCAUAGGGAAAUUCGUCUUGCGAAGCAGCUCAAAAACCGCAAAACCCUUUCGUCUAGUGAGUUUUUCGUCUUGCGAGGCAUUCGUCUUGCGGGGCACCACUGAAUUAUUAUUAUUAUUAUUAUUAUUAUUGGGGAGAUUUUUGUUAUGAGGGAAGGACUUUUGUUGGGGUGGGUAGAACCAACAUGAUCGGACAGUUACUUAAGUAUUUCUAUUGGUUUACUUGAUCAGGGGGGCAGCCCUCCCCCCUCCCUUGGCUACACCAAUGGGUACCACCAGUGCUCAUCAUACUGUCCAUGCUCUUUCUGACUGUUUUUCCCCCAGGUUGAACACUUUAACCACUGCACCACACUGGCACUGCAAUUCACUCGGUUCAUUCCUGCCUCAUCCUUCUAUGUCAUUUUAGCCAUUUCUUCACUCUUCCUGGUGCCUGUGUUACUUAGCGGUGGCCUGCGUGCCAGGAAAAAAAGCCUAAACUACAUUUUUGUCUUUAUGAAAAGAGCCCAUUUAACGAAAGAAAUGAAUUUUCUUUUUCAGAGAAUGCACAGCUUUUACCAGGUGUUGCAGCUAAUUGCCAGGAAUAAUGAGAUGCCGUCUCAGAAGGGUAAGUUAUAGCAGAAUGGCUCCAAUUAAGCGAUAAAGACCAAGGUCACAAUAACAAAGUUGGCUAGUUCCAGAAAACUUCCAGAUACUUCUUAUUGCAAAGCAAUCCAAAACAGGUGAUAGAUUCUUUUUCUCGAAUACAAAUGGUGACUUGCCACUGGUAAUGAAAUGUGUUACCGUAAGGUGCUAAAUUUUUUAGCUUUGUGCUUGCACCAUCUUUUGAAGAAACCACAGAGUCAACAAACACCUCCAGAGGAUCUCUGUAUUUAACCAAUGAUGACGACAUCUGGAUGACUCAAUAACAUGGUUAGGCAAACUAAGGCCCGGGGCCAGAUGCGGCCCAAUCACCUUCUAAAUCCGGCCCGUGGAUGGUCUGGGAAUCAGCAUGUUUUUACAAGAGUAUAAUGUGUUCUUUUAUUUAAAAAUGCAUCUCUGGGUUAUUUGUGGGACAUAGGAAUUCGUUCUCCCCCCAAAAUAUAUAUAUAUAUAGUCUGGCCCGCCACAAGGUGUGAGGGACAGUGGACCGGCCCCCUGCUGAAAAAGUUUGCUGACCCCUGCUCAAUAACUACACUGAACAUGGAAUAUUUGUAAACUUUAACAAAUUGGCUUAAUUUGUCUAGCUGGUAUUAUGAACUUGGUUUGUGUGGUUAAUUAUGCCUCUACUUCUCUGCUGGCCCAUCUAUCUGAUAACACCUGGAGGAUUUGAAAGAGCAAUUUGAAGGAGGAGAGAUGGCCCCAUGUACAUGUUCAAGGAUGUAGUUUCCUACACAGGACAGCAAAUUAAAGGAAUCACAGUAGAGAACAGGAGUCUUUCAGAAGGCAGAAGGAAUUAGACCUAGAAGAGUGUAAGUUGUGGGUAAGACUAUACUGAUAAACAAUAGUAUAUAGAGGGCAAGGCAGUAAAUAAUUUGGUUGUAGGCAACAUUAGUCCUACUUUGAGGAGACCCAUUAAAAUAAUGGACAUGUCUAAUGUCAGUGAAUAUACUCUAACUGAGUUGGAGAUAACCCACAGAAACACAAGAAUAUUUUUUGUUGUUUUUAGAUUUUAUUUUAUUUUAGAACAAUUAUAUACAUCAAUGUGAGCAACACUUUAAUGUAUUUUUCUUUUUCUUUCUUUCUACAGAGUAGUGGCAUUUUCAUGUCAGAGAACAGGCUUCCUCAACCUCAGCCCUCCAAAUGUUUUGAGACUACAAUUCUCAUCAUCCCUGACCACUGGUCCUGCUAGCUAGGGAUCAUGGGAGUUGUAGGCCAAAAACAUCUGGAGGGCCGAGGUUGAGGAAGCCUGUCAGAUAAUAUAUUCAUAAGGAUAUUGUUGUUGUUUAGACGUUUAGUUGUGUCCGACUCUUCGUGACCCCAUGGACCAGAGCAUGCCAGGCACUCCUGGCUUCCACUGCCUCCCGCAGUUUGGUCAGACUCAUGUUUGUAGCUUUGAGAACACUGUCCAACCAUCUCGUCCUCUGUCGUCGUCCCAUCUCACCAUCUCGUCCUCUGUCGUUAAUUCAUAAGGAUAUAACCAGCCUUUUUCCAAAUUAAAGAAAGAACUUACUUUCUAACCAUGCAGAUGUAGCUUGUCUAGUUUAGGAUCAGCCACGGUUCUUUAUUCUGGUGUAUGGUUCUGGCGGCAGUUGUCUUGUGCUUCUCUUGUAUAUAAAGAAGAUGAAGUUAUUACACUCAGUAAAGGGUGUGCUAGGAGAACAUUUGUCCAGGAUGCAACAUUUGUGCGGAAUAUGGAAAUGUUUACCUAGGAAGCAGGCAGGGGUGUUCCGGGGAGUGGGGGCAGGGAGCAGUCUGCCCCAGGUACCAGUCCAAAGGAGGGGUGACAAAAUGCUGACCUCCGAUCGGCAGCACACCCCAAGGCACACACUGCUUGCCGCGCACCCCCUGGGACUUGUGCCCUGCCCCCUGAGACAAGCGCUGUUCCGGGUACUGGAGCAUGUUGCUUUGCCUCUGGAAGCAGGGAAGCACUCUCAGGAGAUGUGUUAUGUAAGAAAGAAAGAACAGAAGAAUCUGCUGGAUGAGGUCAAAAGCCCAUCUAGACCACCACCCUGUUUUCACAGUGGCCACCAAAUGGCCACUAUGGAAACUGUGAUGGCCUGGGAAUCCGAUUCAGAGGCUGAACCGGAGGAAUCCCAGCCUGCACAGGAGUCCCUGCCUCCAGGGCCGGCUGAACUGGGGCAGGGCCUUGAUUCUGAAGCACCUGCACCUGUGCCGGAUCCUCAGGAGCAGGCACCAGGUGAAUCCACUCUGGCUCCGGAGGUGGUUGAGGACUCAGUGCCUACAGGUGAGUCUCCCCCUGGGUCCAGUAACCCUUCAGCAUCUCCUGAACUGCAGAGGCUCAGGGCAGAGAGGCGGAGGGAACUGGUUUCUCCCAGGAGGAGUGCUCGCCUUAAGGCCAGGAGAGGCGGGUCUCCUGGGGUCCGGGACCGCCCCUGGCCUCAGAGAAGAUAAAGGCCAGUCAGCCCGGUCCCAGGUUGCGGGAGCAACGUCGUUGAAGAGCUGUUUCGGCCAGCACCCAGUCUGGUUCCCCCAGAGUUCCUGUCCUUGCCCAGCUCCUCACUGUGGACCCCACUUCGCCCGUGGAGGACUGUCUGCCGACCCUCGACUCAGGUCCUGGACCUCGCGCCAUGGUAACCUCCCCCCUGGACCAGCACAGAAACCCAUAAACAGAACCCAGGUGCAACAGCAUUCUCCCUGGUUGUGAUUCCCUGACAUGCUGUGUCCAAAGGUUGAGGAAGAACAUAGCCACUGUGGUUAGCAGCCAUUGAUUGUAUUUUUCUUCAUGAAUCAAAGAGACUGGUGAGAGGUGAGAGUUGCUUACAAGAAGAAGGAGGGCAUGAAAUGAAAGUGCUGCUUAGGAGGCACAGAGUAUAUUUUCUUCUCCAGCACUGGUUAAUUGCAAGAGAGUCUUUAUAUAUUAAGAAUAGUUGCUGGUUAUUUUAGAUCAGAGAAUAUUGUUUCCAGUGUAUAGCCAUAGCUGCCUCCUUCUCCUCCACUUUAUCUGAACUUAAGCAAUGCCAAGGAGUUCCAUUUUACUGAGUUGCUUUAUGCACCUUUAGUUCUUUUUCAGUUGUGUGCAUUACCAAAACUAUUUGCACUGGGCUUAAAUACAAAAAUCAAGGCAGUGCCACUGCUUUUCAAUAAUGGAAGCAGUUUUUUACUUCAAUACAUCAUCAGUACUUCACUUUAUGAAUUGUAAUUUCCCACAGAAUAUUGGAGGAUAUUAUUGUGUAGUCUGACAUGGUUUCACUUAACACAUCAGUGAUGAACAAUAGGCCUCUAGUAACUCUAGUUUUGUUUAAUUCUGAAUAGUUGCAGAGGCAAGAUUGAAUAAUGAUCUUAAUCGGUCAAGUUAAAAUGGAAACAUUCUCAGAGGACACACAAUUGUGCUAUUAAAGGAGAGGAUCCAUAAAGAGAUGCUAAAAGGUGUGAGAGAGAUAGUGUGUAUAUGGAGUGCUUGAGAGAGAAGAAACAGAAAAGAAAACUCCAAACUCAGCUGCAAAACAGGAAAGUAAGAUUCAAAAAUAAACGUUUCAGUGCAAUCAGUCACACUUGAUAAUAGCAGCUGAAUAGGAAGAUGAGUAUACUUAAUACCUGAUGACUCAAUACGGGAUGGAAAUCUUUAAUCAUUAAAUGGACUCUGCUGCUUUUGAGUAGUCCCAUUGUGGUCCUCAGGGUAGUUGAACAAAGACAUGAGUAACACAAAACAGAUAGGUCUUUAAAACCUUCAAUGAAUUUCAUGCCAAGAGAAUAGUUUUCUAAUAGAAUACAGGUCUGGUCAUGCACACACUUUCCCUAUGCAACACCAUUUUCAUGUUUCUUUCCAGUUUCCAGAAAAGAUUGCUAUUACCCAAGAUCCAAUGAAAUAAUUUUUUAAUUGAUAUUACUGUGAGUUAAGUGUGCAUAGCUCCUGCAGAAAUAUGCAGCCUGGCAUGCCAGUCCUAACAGCCUUAGGAUGACCACUUUUGCAUCCCCAAAAGAAAGGACAAAAGAGAACACAGAUUUGCAUAACAUGUGUGAAGGCUUAUGUAAAGUGCUAUUUUUCUAGAAAAAGAGGUAGUGGAACUCUCCAUGAAUGCCUCCCUUGUCUUAUAAUGGCAAUUGCAUCCAGCUAAGAGGUGCUGGAACUAGAUAGCACAGUUGGUUUGAGUGUGGUUUCUGAUAACGCCAAGGGAUCGAUCCUCAUAUGGGAUAGUUGCAUAUUUCUGCAUUGCAGGGAGUUGCUCCAAUCAGCUACAUCGGCUAUCAGAGGCCUUUUGAGUGUCAAAUUCUCCUUGCUGUCCUCUUUACUCACAACUGCACCCAUCUUGCUAGCUACCAAACUACUUACUGAUUGCAAAGAUUGUUUGAAGUGACAUGGAUUAAGGAUUAGUUAGAGGCGUCUCAAAUGAUCUCUGAUGUAAAAGGUAAGGUAAAGGUGAAAGACCACUAGAUGGUUAAGUCCAGUCAAAUUCAACUAUGGGGUGUUGAGCUCAUCUCCGCUUUCAGGCUGAGGGAGCCAGCGUUUGUCCGCAGACAAUUUUUCCAGGCCAUGUGGCCAGCAUGACUAAACUCCUUCUGGCACAACAGGACACCUUGACAAGUGCCAGAGCACACAGAAAUGCCAUUUAUCUUCCUGCCACAGUGGUACCUAUUUAUCUACUCAUGCUGAUAUGCUUUCAAACUGCUAGGUUGGCAGGAGCUGGGACAAAGCAAUGGCAGCUCACCCCAUCGCGGGGAUUUGAACUGCCAACCUUCCGAUCGGCAAGCCCAAGUGGCUCAGUGGUUUAGACCACAGCACCACUCUGAUGUAGUAGCUUUCUAAGGCAAAUCUUGACUGCCUUUUCCUCUGCCAGUUAGUUUGCUGUUUUGAAAAGCACAAAGAGGGUCACUGAUUAAUUUCUCGUUCAGCAGAUAAAACUACAGGUUAGAUUUUCCAGUGGGAUCAUUUCUUUGGAACAUUGUUUGGAUAAUGAUAAUGAUGAUGAUGAUGAUGAUGAUGAUGAUGAUGAUGAUUAUUUCUCAGUGAAAGGGCUUAAUGUUCGUUAUCUGGCAACUUUGUUGCAGCUGCAGAAGUAUGUGGGAGCCUUGGUCUCUUCUACAACCCUAGAAGAGCUCAAUGUAUGCAAAGGGGAUCCCCAGAUUUGUUUCUGACUGGAGAAUUCCUGAGCAUUGAAGGAAAGGGGCUGUCCUUGAUUGCACAUCAUGUUUUUUUGCAUGGUGGUGAAUCUCCUGAAAGUUUUUGGAUUGUUCCUUUUAUCUUUUAGCUCUGUAGUUAAUUAAUUGACAAACUGUGCUGAUUAAUCAGUGAUAGCUUUCCAUCCUACCAUCUGCAGCUUCCUUUUUACUGAAAUAUGUAAAUUUAUGUAGCACAACUAAUUAAGACAACAUAAGGUAUGGAACAAUUUUCUGAAUGGAUCUUAUCCAUAUGGAACCAAAAAUAAGUUUUUUUCCCCUAAGGGCUAAAUCAUCUGUUGCUGAUUUCAACGUUACAGAUUCUGACUAGUGAACACUACAAAACUCACUUAUUGCAAUAACUCUGGUAUAUUUUUUUCCACAUGUUGGCUGUCUUGUUUUUUGUCUGCUGCUUUUAUUAUUUAUAUUUCAUGGUUGCUUUGGUAUCUUUAUAUUGCGAUGAUCAGUUGUCGUGUUUUGUUGCUCUUGGGAUUUCUCUUUCUGCCUCUUUCUUCUUCUUUUUGACACUUUCUGGAGCUUGUCAGAUGUUAUCCCAAUAACAGGUGCUGUCAGAUCCCUCAGUCCAGAAUGUGUCUUCCUGUCAGUCAAUUUCAACACUCUCCAAGAGGAUGCUCUCAAAAAGAGGGGAGCCAUCCACCCAACAAUGCUGUGCAAACUCCAUUUCCCCAGAUUGCUUUGGCUUUUCCAGCACCCAAACAGAAUAUUUUGAAGCAGGCCUUCCCUUUGCCCUUCUGAUCUUGACAACACUCUGGAUUAAUCACAGGAACCAAUCACACCAAUCACAGGAACAAAGAACUCAGCCAACCCUGCUUGUCACUUCUAAGACUGGAACAUUUCUUGUUAACAGCCAGAGUAAUAUAUAAUCUGUUGGGGGCAAAAUGCUGUGACCAGCCUUUUAUCAUGCUUUUUUUCCAGAUAGUACACUCUCACUCAGCCCUUAGGCUAGCCUUGGGCCAAACCAAGUUAAAUGGGCUAAGACAGAGAAACCUAGAUGUCAUUAUUGCUUUAUGCAAGCAUUCUGUGAUAUGCAUGCUCGUUGCAGGUUUUGUAUGUAUGCGACCCUGAAAUGUAAACCAAUUUUACACUGGUAGAUCUACUUUGACAAUGAAAAGCAAGCAAGACAAUCAUCAUUACAGUAUUGAUUGUGUGUGUACGUGUGUGUUGGGGGAAGAGCC
Molecule: non-coding RNA, 13345 nt
Organism: Podarcis lilfordi (Lilford's wall lizard)
Lineage: Eukaryota; Metazoa; Chordata; Lepidosauria; Squamata; Lacertidae
Source: the annotation of a GenBank genome assembly